Molecule: long non-coding RNA, 1244 nt
Organism: Drosophila navojoa
Lineage: Eukaryota; Metazoa; Arthropoda; Insecta; Diptera; Drosophilidae
Source: RefSeq, a predicted model, not a curated record
GAGCGUUCAAGACGAGUUUGUUUGAGAUCAAUUGAUAGUCGUAGCGUUGUGUAAUGUUGAUCUUGUUUUGGUAACGUAGUGGAGCAUUGAGUUAAAUAAGCCUGACUCUUAUUUUUUCUGGAUGUCUGCCGGUCUUGUCCGCAAGACAACUUUUAGUAUGAGUAUGCUAGUGUGUUUUGUGAGUAUGUUAUAUCUGAAUGGUAUUGGUAUUUCAAGUGUUUGCAGUUUUUCAUCAAGAAGGUCAUGGCCGAUUCAAGCGAUCCUGAUCCCGCAGUAUUUCUUGAACAGUGAACGAAAUGGGUGCGCAGAGUCACUCGUGAAAUAUUAAAAUAAUUUAUCAGUUUACAUUUAUUCUCUUCGCUCAAAAACUGAAUGCUAAUUAUUUUUUAAAAUGGAAUCAUGCGUUUUGAUACCAAAAGAGUUAUCUUUAACCGGAAUAUCCCUACCAAAUAUAACAAACGAAUUCGUAUUAACUGUGUGCGCAACUACUAAUAUCAAAAAAGGAACUCUAUUUUGUCCGUUUCAAGGUACUAUUCGUACCGAUAAAAUUGAAAACUUAAAGUCUCCUGAUGAAAAUGACUUAAGAUAUCGGUACGGAUUAUAUCAUGAAAUUUCAGACAAUUAUGGAAAGCGCGUUGUUCAUUGCAAUUGGAUAAGAUUUCUUAAAAUUGCCAGUUCUAUCGACGCUAAUGUAAAUAUAAUUAGUUCCAUGGUUAAAGGAGAUCCAUUGUAUGAAGUUAUAAAGCCAAUAAAAAUGUAUGAAGAAUUAGUUGCUUAUUAUAUUCCGGAACCACCAGAGGACAGUAUAUUUCUGACUUUUCGUUCCACGCUUUAUAGAAAAGCUAUGGACUCGAUUCUAAAGGAUACCCCCCUAGAUUUGUCACUAGCAUUAAUGUAUAAAACACCAAAUUUUCCACUAUCUCCUCCAGUAAGUGAGGACGAGCAAAAGUCAACGUUGAGUGACUCCUCUGGAUCUUUAUUAUCACUUCAUGACAGCACAAUUGACAACUCAACUACUUCUUCAUCUACGUCGAUGGAAGAAAUAAAUAAAUAUGAAUUUGAAGAUAUCACUUCAAUCUCAUCUAUAAAUAAAAUUUACUUUAAAGCCUAUCAAUACGGACCAGAGAAAAAACGAAUGGGUAAAAACGAAAGAUCUUUACUUCCCUGUGAAGUCUGCAGAAAAGCAUUUGAUAGGCCUAGUCUAUUAAAAAGACAUAUGAGAACACAUACAGGUAAUUUUAUAU